This is a small nuclear RNA of Gorilla gorilla gorilla (western lowland gorilla), 100 nucleotides long. The record is from Ensembl. Lineage: Eukaryota; Metazoa; Chordata; Mammalia; Primates; Hominidae.
GUGCUCGCUUUGGCAGUAUACUGAAAACGAAACGAUACAGAGAUUAGGAUGGCUCCUGCGCAAGGAUGACAUGUAUAUUUGUGAAGCGUUCCAUUACUUU